AGUGAACGCUGGCGGUAGGCCUAACACAUGCAAGUCGAACGGCAGCACAGUAAGAGCUUGCUCUUACGGGUGGCGAGUGGCGGACGGGUGAGGAAUACAUCGGAAUCUACUUUUUCGUGGGGGGUAACGUAGGGAAACUUACGCUAAUACCGCAUCCGACCUACGGGUGAAAGCAGGGGAUCUUCGGACCUUGCGCGAUUGAAUGAGCCGAUGUCGGAUUAGCUAGUUGGCGGGGUAAAGGCCCACCAAGGCGACGAUCCGUAGCUGGUCUGAGAGGAUGAUCAGCCACACUGGAACUGAGACACGGUCCAGACUCCUACGGGAGGCAGCAGUGGGGAAUAUUGGACAAUGGGCGCAAGCCUGAUCCAGCCAUACCGCGUGGGUGAAGAAGGCCUUCGGGUUGUAAAGCCCUUUUGUUGGGAAAGAAAAGCAGCAGGUUAAUACCCCGCUGUUCUGACGGUACCCAAAGAAUAAGCACCGGCUAACUUCGUG
RNAcentral lists this ribosomal RNA (492 nucleotides) under uncultured bacterium. RNAcentral describes it as "partial 16S ribosomal RNA". It matches the Rfam family "Bacterial small subunit ribosomal RNA", at positions 29 to 507 of the family's 1533-position model. The record is from RNAcentral.